GGGGGCGACCUGGCUUCGACGGGGGUCGCGAAGCAGCGUAGGGCAUACCGAGGGUCAGAGCACCUCGUAAAUCCAACUGAAAAUCGUUUAAACGCAAACGACGAAACUUACGCUCUGGCCGCUUAAUGCGCCGGACCCUGCACCAUCCAGCAUACGGGGUGGGUUAGGCAACUAACAGCAGGGUAAUCUCAGUAUGAUCGUGGCUGUCCGGGUGGCUUGGGCAGACAUUAAAUCAAGGCCACUCGCCAAAGUUCAGCCUGUUCGGCGGGCGUAACCGAGGUUAAAGCAAUAAAUCACCGGACUAAGUAUGUAGAACUGCCUGUAGAGGGCUUUCGGACGCGGGUUCGAUUCCCGCCGCCUCCACCA
Molecule: transfer-messenger RNA, 366 nt
Filed under: Thiobacillus sp.
Lineage: Bacteria; Pseudomonadati; Pseudomonadota; Betaproteobacteria; Nitrosomonadales; Thiobacillaceae
Also listed under: 1 other name
Rfam family: transfer-messenger RNA
About the family: Bacterial tmRNA, also known as 10Sa RNA or SsrA, is named for its dual tRNA and mRNA-like properties. Its role is to liberate the mRNA from a stalled ribosome. To accomplish this part of the tmRNA is used as a reading frame that ends in a translation stop signal.
Source: RNAcentral